UACGUAGGUGGCAAGCGUUAUCCGGAAUCAUUGGGCGUAAAGGGUGCGUAGGCGGCUUAUUAAGCUUGUAGUGAAAUCGUAGAGCUCAACUCUAUUAAGCUACGAGAACUGGUAGGCUAGAGUGCGGUAGAGGCAAGUGGAAUUCCAUGUGUAGCGGUAAAAUGCGUAGAUAUAUGGAGGAACACCGGUGGCGAAGGCGGCUUGCUGGGCCGUAACUGACGCUGAGGCACGAAAGCGUGGGGAGCAAAUA
Molecule: ribosomal RNA, 250 nt
Filed under: uncultured prokaryote
Description: partial 16S ribosomal RNA
Rfam family: Bacterial small subunit ribosomal RNA
Source: RNAcentral